Molecule: long non-coding RNA, 4879 nt
Organism: Halichondria panicea
Lineage: Eukaryota; Metazoa; Porifera; Demospongiae; Suberitida; Halichondriidae
Exons: 5
Source: RefSeq, a predicted model, not a curated record
CUUGGAAUUUCUCAAGAGAUUGUUGCAUUGCAAGGCAGGUUUCCUCCAAGUGGGAACUCAUAGCUUGAGACAGAAUGGAGGCACUCACCUCGCUGACGAGAGGUCUGGACUGGACUAGAGGAGGUGCUCUAUUACAGUACUGGUGGCUCUGUGGUUCGGCUGUGUAUAACUACAGAGCUACUCUGAACUCUUUUGACAUUAUGAGAGGGCUUGUACACUAUUAGGUAUAUGAAGAGUAACUCAUAGUCACCGUGUGUGUUGUUCGUAUUGCAAUAUCCAUUUCUUUCUCUAUAAUUUUCUACAUAUAUUAUACAUGACUAAACCACAAUGUCACUACACUGGCUAUACUAGUCUAUAUUUAGUCUAUAUAUUUUCCAUGUCCAUGUCUCUCUCGCCUGGCCUGAUUAGCAUCAGUAACUGACGUCCAUAAUUUUAGCCAUGCAAGUCUGCAAGGGGUAUAUAUAUAUAUAGUAUGCAAUAAAUUCAGUGAACAGUACGAUUAUGUCUAUAUGUCAGUAACAUAUUAUCAAUGCACACACUAUAAGACCUAUACCUUGCAGCUCAGCCUGCUUGGCCUCUUUCUCUUUCCAACCACUAGGACAGCCGGUCAUUAUGAAAGGGGGUACACACAAACCUGCGAGUAUGUGUGCAUGAAGCAUUGUAUAUUAUAGAGAUCUACAUGCAUGCAUGCAUGUAUACUUAAUAUAAUUAUAUAGUAUCUAUAUAGCCAGGGUUACACACGCUAUAAGGCUAUAAGGCUAUAAGACGUAUAUAUACUGGCUUGCAGCGAGGCCUGGGCCUCCGAAUAGUAUAGGAAGGGAAAACAAGGCCUUUUAGCAACAGUUACUGUGGCAUGUGAGUAUAUAGCACCUACCACCAGCAGGUGCUCCAGUCACAAUAGUUGCAAUGGCAACAAUGCAAAAGAGCACACAAAGAGUCUUCAUGAUGAAUAGAUCAGAGUCUAUGGUUUUUUAGAAUGGCUGGAUAUAUGUGAAUAGCUGACCUAUAGAUUUAGCAUGCAGUCCUUAUUUAUAUACUACACAAAAUUCCAUGCCCGUGGUUUAAUUUCUCAUAAUGAUUAACAUGAUUAUAAUUAAAUCCAAGUCUCUACGUAUACACGGUACUUGCUAAACUAUAAUUUUUCUAAGCAUCUCUAUAGUUUGAUUUCGCUAUAAUUUAAGGCUACAGUUGUUCUCAAUCAAGUUCGGUCAUGCAGCUUUCAAAUUUCAAUAUGGGCAUUGUGGUCCACUGAAAUUUUCAACAGCCAAAUAGACUAGCUUUCCACCUACAAUCUUGUAGAAGAUGUCGGCUUGCAUUAUUUGGCUACCACCCUCGCCAAUCGGAAUAGACACUCUUUCUUGUGUAGCUCCACUGUAGUCUUGCGUCCCCUGAAAGAGUCGAGCACUUGUACCACGCCUACAAAGUCCACCUGCAUGUGUGAGUAAAGAUGGUGAGUACGUACAUGCAUGAAUAAAUAGGGAUUCCUAAUACAUAAUACUUAUGGAUAGCUGGAUGUACUAUUAAGCCCAUACUCCUGCACAUUAUAGAUCUAUAUAUGCAUGAUAAAUUAUGUAUAAUUGGCACACAUGCAUAACAAUAUUUAGCUAAGAGCUUUAAGUUACCAAUGUCACAGAGAUCUACGAAGGUGUCGUAAGCUUUCCUCAGUGUAACUCGUGUGCAUGUUGCCCAGCUACCAGGAUGUUUCACACAGGACACCUCAAUGUCAAAUUGAUUCCCAUAUUGCUGCAACUUGUGUAGCGAAGGGUUAAUUGAGAGAAAGUCUUGAUGACACCCGAUUGUCCUGAACCCACUGCUUUGUAGGCUAACAUCAUCUUUACCCUCGACCAUAGCUAGAGCUUCAAAGAAUGUCAUCAGCUUCGCGACAGCUUCUUCAUGUGUGCCUGAAGCAUUGUAUAUUAUCAAUGCACACACUAUAAGACCUAUACCUUGCAGCUCAGCCUGCUUGGCCUCUUUCUCUUUCCAACCACCACAGCCGGUCAUUAUGAAAGGGGGUGCACACAAACCUGCGAGUAUGUGUGCAUGAAGCAUUGUAUAUUAUCAAUGCACACACUAUAAGACCUAUACCUUGCAGCUUCGCGACAGCUUCUUCAUUGUAUGGAGCUCCUUUUAGCUGAGCUGGCUGGGCUGCCAGAACAAUGACAAUCGCCACGAAAACUGCGAGUAUCUUCAUGUUGAAUUUGAGAAGGCACUUGGCUAUAUAGUUGAUCAAUGAGAGUUGAAUGAGAUUUUGGUAACUCAGCAGCCAAAAACUCUCCUUAUAUAAAAAUAGGGGUAUUAAUUAAGGCAGCACCUUUAGGGAUGCUCCAGACCUGCUAAUGUUACCUUUCUCAUUGCUGUAUAGAGAAACUACUCACAUUCGUUGCAGUGAAUAAAUUACGUCAUUGGAAUGUCAUUAACAAAGGGUCUAUUGGUUCAAAGAACUGCUGCACUUGUGGUCGAUCAUAGGCUUCAUUGGUGGUGGUUAUCAAUUCAUACUGAUUCAGAAAAAUACUACUUAAAAGCAACUCAAUAAGAACUGCUGCACCUAGUCUAGGCUUAAUGCACUGAGACAGACCAUCACCACUUCAUGAGUAGACUCGUUGAUUCUUUCACUGCCGGAUGCAGUUAGCUACUGUGAUUCAGAACAUCCCAUAAUACAUUGCUAUAAUAUUAUAGUUACUGAUGCACUAACUCAAUAUACACUGUAUACGUGACACCCUGGUUGCCGUUGACGUCCCUCUGGUAAUUCCUGGCUCUGCGUAGAGGAAUGGUUCAUGGGAUCUGGUGAUACACAAUGUCACAAAAUAUUGUACAAGUGAUUUCCAAUUAACAAACUUCCUGUCCACUACAUGUAUUAGCAUCGGCCACGAGGAUAGAAUGAUGAUAGUCUACAAUUAUGCUUUAAAUUAUCAACAUCGACUGCGUAAAAAAUGCUCCACUUGUGCAAAGUAGUUGGCCGGGUUCCUGUUGAGAACCAUGCAGUCGUUCUGUUCCAGAGCAAAAUCAUCAAAGGAUUACAUCAAUCAUUAUGUGGGGAGCAUCAGAUCUGGAAACUAACUACCCUGAUAGAUGCAGCAGCUCUUCUUGUGCAUGUAUAUAUGUUAUGACAUUAUAAAAAUGUUCACAUGCAUAGAUAUUGACAUUUGAAAAAGUUCACUAUUACCGCAUUUCACCGCAAACGGUGACUGACUAAGUAAGUAAGUGAGUAAGUAAGUAAGUAAGUAAGUAAGUAAGUUUCUUGAGAAGCUUUUCCUCUGUGUACAAGGAUCAUCAUGACAUUCUGCAACCAGUUUCCAGACAACUACAAUCCUGACCAUGGGCAUUUUCCUCAGAUUUACGAUCGCUUUCACGAGGCACAUGACCUCUCAGGCUCAAUUUCUCUUACCUACAAAAUGUCGCCAUCUUUAUGUGAUUGUUCGCGCAUGUGCAGUAGUAUGAAGACCUCAUGGCCACUUAUUAAAUGGGCGUGGCCGUGACAGGACUAGCUUCUAGCUUCUCUAACUAGCUGUACUGUUCUACAGUACAGUCUAGCAGUACAUGCAGUAGCUCCUUGCAUACAGGUAUGUGUACAUUCUCAGUACUGGCCAGUGCUUACCAUACCUCUCUUGGCUGUUGAACUCUACAGGCAGACAUAAAACUUGCUAGUCUAGUAUCUAUAGACUAGCUACCUCUCUUGUAUAUUCUGUGAUACAUAAAUGUCAUAAUCAUGAAAAGGACACAGUGUAUAGAUCUAGUCUACAUCAAUAACAUUUCAUUAUGCUCAUUCCUGUGUAGAGAACUUCCUCCAAUUGCUAUCUCCUCUUCUUGUACUUCUACUCCUGUACAAUAAAAAAAGCAUGGGAACAAGCUCCCAAAAACAUCUGCAAUGUAAAAAUUUCUAGGAUUGGCCAGGGAAAGCACCAAAAAGUAUAGAAACAAGCAAGCAGGAGAAAGCCCUAGUACGUCAAUCCGUUAAACAAGCAACAAUCCCUUACAAUGUCACAUGAUACAGCUAGUGUUUAUACAUAGCAUGAAUUCGCAUUGCUACAUGCAGUUCCUGAAAUCCAUCACAAUUGAGCAUUCAACAUACUGAACAAUUUGCAUCCAUUGUUACACUUCUCUUAUUUAUAAUUAGCUAAUAAUAUGUCCCCAAAUGAUGCAUGUGCAUGAAUGAUGUUGCAACGGAUUGUUGCUUGUUUAACGGAUUGACGUACUAGGGCUUUCUCUAGCCUCGAUCCCAGGCCGAGUUUUCGCUUUUAUAACGGUUAGGCAAACAACUGGGCCUGGUACUAGUUGUCUGCGCAUGCGUCAGUCGUUCGUCAGAUUCUGACGAAUGGAUAUUCUCGUUCACUUUCGUGACAUUUAUAUUCGUGUACUAUCGUGUACUAGAAGUCAGUUCCCGUUUUAUCAUUAUUGGAAUAGAUUGGAAUGGCUCUUAGCUGAAGCUUCUCUCUUCUCUGAAGCUUAUUCUGAAGACUGAACAACAAGGGAAGAGGUAUAAAGCUUUGUCAAGCUUGUUAAGGAGCAAUGGCUAAUAUCCAGCUAUCCCAACAGUGCUCCUCUUGGCUAUACUAACGGACGAGACUGGACAGUUUGAGACACAGGACUGGAGUAUGACCUGCUCAUUCGAGCGUUGCUGGGUAGCUCAGAGACAUCAAGAGAAUCUACGUUUUCUCAAGCAAUGAGUUACGAGUUGGGGCCUAGAAUCAGAGAAGUCCAGCAGCCUGCUAAAUCUUUUUGAAACGUAAUUUGAAUGAAGUUGCCCUGGGUCACUGUAAUUGUGCUGCAGCACAACUGGCAACUCCCCAGGCCUUUGUGAAGCAGCUCCCUAUGUGCAUCUUUUGUGUACUCACUCUGUGCAUUUUCUGUGUACAAAUUUCUAUUAUUGAUUUAUUAAAUA